CCUACGGGUGGCAGCAGUGGGGAAUAUUGGGCAAUGGGCGCAAGCCUGACCCAGCAACGCCGCGUGAAGGAAGAAGGCUUUCGGGUUAUAAACUUCUUUUGUCAGGGACGAAGCAAGUGACGGUACCGGACGAAUAAGCGACGGCUAACGACGGGCCAGCAGCCGCGGUAAUACGUAGGUGGCAAGCGUUAUCCGGAUUUACUGGGUGUAAAGGGCGUGUAGGCGGGACUGCAAGUCAGAUGUGAAAACCACGGGCUCAACCUGUGGCCUGCAUUGGAAACGGUCGUUCUUGAGUACUGGCGCGGCAGCCGGAAUUCCUAUUGUAGCCGUUACAUGCGUAGAUAUUAGGAGGACCCCCAGUGGCGAAGGCGGUCUGCUGGACAGCACCUGACGCUGAGGCGCGAUCGCGUGGGGAGCAAACAGGAUUAGAUACCCCGGUAGUC
Molecule: ribosomal RNA, 443 nt
Filed under: uncultured bacterium
Lineage: Bacteria
Description: partial 16S ribosomal RNA
Rfam family: Bacterial small subunit ribosomal RNA
Source: RNAcentral